GGGUUGCAGCAGCUCAGACAAUCCUUACCGUGUGAAAGGAGGAAUACUGUCAUGGCAUGAAAAAAGCAUCACUAUGGAAAAGAAAACUCAGUAGAAGAUAAUGGCAAGUCCAGACUGGGGAUAUGAUGACAAAAAUG
RNAcentral lists this small RNA (137 nucleotides) under Pongo abelii (Sumatran orangutan). RNAcentral describes it as "retained intron". The record is from RNAcentral. Lineage: Eukaryota; Metazoa; Chordata; Mammalia; Primates; Hominidae.